CGCACGCGCGCUACACUGAUGUAUUC
RNAcentral lists this non-coding RNA (26 nucleotides) under Arabidopsis thaliana (thale cress). RNAcentral also lists the same sequence under 1 other name. Lineage: Eukaryota; Viridiplantae; Streptophyta; Magnoliopsida; Brassicales; Brassicaceae. The record is from RNAcentral.